This 448-nucleotide ribosomal RNA is filed under the name uncultured bacterium. RNAcentral describes it as "bacterial SSU rRNA". It matches the Rfam family "Bacterial small subunit ribosomal RNA", at positions 8 to 502 of the family's 1533-position model. The record is from RNAcentral.
AGAGUUUGAUCCUGGCUCAGAACGAACGCUGGCGGCAGGCUUAACACAUGCAAGUCGAGCGCUUCACUUCGGUGAGGAGCGGCGGACGGGUUAGUAACGCGUGGGAAUAUACCCUUUGGUACGGAAUAGCCUCUGGAAACGGAGAGUAAUACCGUAUGUGCCCUUCGGGGGAAAGAUUUAUCGCCAAAGGAUUAGCCCGCGUUGGAUUAGGUAGUUGGUGGGGUAAUGGCCUACCAAGCCGACGAUCCAUAGCUGGUUUGAGAGGAUGAUCAGCAACACUGGGACUGAGACACGGCCCAGACUCCUACGGGAGGCAGCAGUGGGGAAUCUUGGACAAUGGGGGAAACCCUGAUCCAGCCAUGCCGCGUGAGUGACGAAGGUCUUAGGAUCGUAAAGCUCUUUCGCCAGGGAAGAUAAUGACGUACCUGGUAAAGAAACCCCGCUAACU